UACGGAGGAUCCAAGCGUUAUCCGGAAUUACUGGGCGUAAAGAGUUGCGUAGGUGGCAUUGUAAGUUGGUAGUGAAAGCGUUCGGCUCAACCGAAUACACAUUACCAAAACUGCAAAGCUUGAGGAUGAGAGAGGUUAUUGGAAUUCCGAGUGUAGAGGUGAAAUUCGUAGAUAUUCGGAAGAACACCAGUGGCGAAGGCGACUCACUGGACAUGUAUUGACGCUGAGGUGCGAAAGCGUGGGGAGCAAACAGG
This 254-nucleotide ribosomal RNA is filed under the name uncultured bacterium. RNAcentral describes it as "partial 16S ribosomal RNA". It matches the Rfam family "Bacterial small subunit ribosomal RNA", at positions 524 to 776 of the family's 1533-position model. The record is from RNAcentral.